Molecule: ribosomal RNA, 237 nt
Filed under: Bacillus sp. cl115
Lineage: Bacteria; Bacillati; Bacillota; Bacilli; Caryophanales; Bacillaceae
Description: 16S rRNA. Bacterial SSU
Rfam family: Bacterial small subunit ribosomal RNA
Source: RNAcentral
CUUUAUUGGAGAGUUUGAUCCUGGCUCAGGAUGAACGCUGGCGGCGUGCCUAAUACAUGCAAGUCGAGCGAAUGGAUUAAGAGCUUGCUCUUAUGAAGUUAGCGGCGGACGGGUGAGUAACACGUGGGUAACCUGCCCAUAAGACUGGGAUAACUCCGGGAAACCGGGGCUAAUACCGGAUAACAUUUUGAACCGCAUGGUUCGAAAUUGAAAGGCGGCUUCGGCUGUCACUUAUGG